Manis javanica (Malayan pangolin) is the source of this 764-nucleotide long non-coding RNA. RefSeq lists it as uncharacterized. NCBI's taxonomy places the organism in Eukaryota, Metazoa, Chordata, Mammalia, Pholidota, Manidae. The record is from RefSeq and is a predicted model, not a curated record.
GUGUGCCUCGGGGCUCAGUCCACGCCCCUUGUGGUGAGGGCGCGUGUCACCAGUGACGUGGAGUGCUGCGUGGAGCGCUCCCUGUUCUCCUUCUCUAUGGCCGCUCUAGUCCCCAGACUGGGUUCUACUGUGUCAGUGAGUGGGAGCCCCUGACCCCGCCAGCGACACACACAUUCUGCCUCCAUUUUCCUCUGCUCUGUGUUUUGGGACUGGGCCCAGCACUGGGCUGGGAAAACAUUUCUGUCCUGAACUGUGGUUCACACCAAAGCACGACCAGAUCCUGCGGGGCAGGGCUGCUCACCGGCUUGGAAUGGACUGUCACUAAACAACUCUUCUUUGAUGAAAAGCUGCCUGUCACUGAUGGCUCAGAACACCCCACCCCACCUCAGCACGAGCAUCCCUUCACAGGACCUCGGUGCCACUGUUGACCGACAGAGCUCAGGGGUGCCCUGAUGCCGAAAGCUCAUUGUCUUCUCUGCUGCUUUAGUGAUAGUGCCAAGGAGGCCAGGCAGAGAGAUGGCCCAUGUUCAGUGGGAGAUUUUGAGCCUGCUCUCAGGUUGGAGUUGGAUUCUAAAGUAAGACUCCUUCCGGCUCUGUGAGGCAGUACUCCAGACUUGGGAGCAAACUGUACAAACUUCAAAUUUAAAUUUAGAGUUUUUAGAAAAAAAUCCCUUGUGGGUUCUUGGUGGAUAAAUGUAACAGUGCACUUUUGCAUGUGAAUGGGUGUUAAUUGACUGAAUAGUAAAAUGUGGUUUGUAGUCUAA